This 45-nucleotide non-coding RNA is filed under the name Schistosoma margrebowiei. Lineage: Eukaryota; Metazoa; Platyhelminthes; Trematoda; Strigeidida; Schistosomatidae. The record is from RNAcentral.
AUGCAGCUGACGAGUCUCAACUAGGACGAAACUCGCGUCUUGGAU